Molecule: transfer RNA, 94 nt
Filed under: Candidatus Bathyarchaeota archaeon
Lineage: Archaea; Thermoproteati; Candidatus Bathyarchaeota
Description: tRNA-Leu
Rfam family: tRNA
About the family: Transfer RNA (tRNA) molecules are approximately 80 nucleotides in length. Their secondary structure includes four short double-helical elements and three loops (D, anti-codon, and T loops).
Source: RNAcentral
GCGACCGUGGUCUAGCCUGGUCUAGGACGGGAGACUUAGAAUCAUCCAACCAACGGUGGGAGAAACCCGGGUUCGAAUCCCGGCGGUCGCACCA